CCCCUAGAUGUUCUGGGCCGCACGCGCGCUACACUGAACAGUUCAACAAGUCUUAACCUUGGCCGAUAGGUCUGGGUAAUCUUUGAACGCUGUUCGUGAUUGGGAUAGACCUUUGCAAUUAUGGGUCUUCAACGAGGAAUUCCUAGUAAACGCAAGUCAUCAGCUUGCAUUGAUUACGUCCCUGCCCUUUGUACACACCGCCCGUCGCACCUACCGAUUGAAUAGUCCGGUGAAAUCUCGGGACGGCGGCUUGGUCGCUUGCGUCCGACUGCUGAAACUUGAUUAAACCAUAUCAUUUAGAGGAAGGUGAAGUCGUANCA
This 320-nucleotide ribosomal RNA is filed under the name uncultured eukaryote. Its description in RNAcentral is "partial 18S ribosomal RNA". It matches the Rfam family "Eukaryotic small subunit ribosomal RNA", at positions 1470 to 1796 of the family's 1831-position model. The record is from RNAcentral.